ACCUCUGUGUGUGUGUGUGUGUGUGUGUGUGUGUGUACACACACACACACACACACACACACACACGUACGUUA
Molecule: non-coding RNA, 74 nt
Organism: Podarcis lilfordi (Lilford's wall lizard)
Lineage: Eukaryota; Metazoa; Chordata; Lepidosauria; Squamata; Lacertidae
Source: the annotation of a GenBank genome assembly